This 900-nucleotide long non-coding RNA is filed under the name Homo sapiens (human). Its description in RNAcentral is "PREDICTED lncRNA (TCONS_00255705)". Lineage: Eukaryota; Metazoa; Chordata; Mammalia; Primates; Hominidae. The record is from RNAcentral.
AGUCCUGGACUGAGCUUCAGAAGAUCUCAGAUCACUGACGUUCUGUCUAGAAGAAUACUCCAAGAUAUAUUUCUAAGUAAUAUUCCUUCUCUUGUUGGGGGAAAUUAGAGAAGAUUUCUACCUGGUGCCAUAUCAACUCAAGGAUGGAGUCAAAUACUGAGAGGCUCUGUCAUCUGUCUUUGGAUCUCCUUCUUCUCUUAGUUUGUUGAAGAAAGGAUGUAUGUCCGAUUCCUCUGCAGUUUCCUGAAAUUCUGGAUACAUAAUGUUACAUAAAUUGUGAAAAUUCUAACAAGGAGCAAACAGCAAAGAACUGAAAUGCUAUACAGACUCCAGUGAGAAAAAACUGAGGUAAUUGGUUUCGGUGUGCUGGUGCUUGAAACUCUAUCCCAGUGCUUCCUUCAACUAAGGCUGCAAAUUGAAAAUGUGAAGAACCUUGCCUGCUUGAACCAGCCUGGGCUUGUGGCAGCAUCAUUCUGUCACUUAAUUCUUCUCACAGAGGUAAUGCCUAUUAAGUGACUUAGCAAGGGCGUGCAUGAUGUAGUCACGAGAUGGAUAUUGGUAACAGUGAUUCCUUGCUGGUACUUUCUAUUAAGUCUAGGUUUCUUGUCACUCAUUGAUCGACCGCACAAAAUCUCACCUGCUAAAUAAUUUGCCCAGGCUUCCACAUCAUUGUACCUGUAUUGAUGAUCCCCAGUGCACAAGAUUACCACGUGAAUGGCAAUGAAAUUUGUGGCGCUGAUACUCAGGGUCUCCACCAGCGAUGUAUAUCACUAUUAAUUUCACUUUGUAUUUCAGAAAGCCGAACCUUUUAAAAUGGAGCUUAUUGCACCAAAAAUAGUUGGAAAUAGAGUAAAACCAAAGAGAAAACCUUAACAACUAUAUAUUUUUAUUUGUUUUAGC